RNAcentral lists this long non-coding RNA (553 nucleotides) under Homo sapiens (human). Its description in RNAcentral is "non-protein coding lnc-API5-11:1". The record is from RNAcentral. Lineage: Eukaryota; Metazoa; Chordata; Mammalia; Primates; Hominidae.
UCUCAGCAGACUGUCGACAUUCCAGAAAAUGUCAACAUCACUCUGAAGGGACAAACAAAUAUUGUGAAGCGCCCCAGAGAGACCCUGCAGAGGAACUUCAACCACAUCAGUGUAGAUCUCAGUCUCCUUGGAAAGACAAAGAAGAGGCUCUGGGUUGGCAAACAGUGGGGAAAUACAAAGGAACUGACUAUUGUUUGAACUCUUUGUAGUCAUUAAUAGAACAUGAGCAAGGGGGUUGCACUGGGCUUCCACUGCAACAUGAGGUCCAUGUGUGCUCACUUCUCCAUCAAUGUCAUUACCCAUUACAAAGGGGAUCUGGUUGAAUUAGAAAUUUAUUGGGUGAAAAAUACAUCUGCAGAGGCCAGGUGCUGCUUGUUCAGUAUCUCAAUCCCAGAAAGAUGAGUUAAUCCUUGAAGUAAAUGACAUUGGACUUGUUUCAAAUUCAGCUACUUUGAUUGAGAAAGCUGUAACAGUUAAAAACAAGAAUAUCAGAAACUUUUUGGAUACUAUCUAUGUCUCUGAAAAAGGAAUAGUUCAGCAGUCUGAUGAAUAA